UACGAAGGGGGCUAGCGUUGUUCGGAAUUACUGGGCGUAAAGGGCGCUUAGGCGGUGUGUCAAGUCAGGCGUGAAAGCCCCGGGCUCAACCUGGGAACCGCGCUUGAGACUGGCACGCUAGAGUUCGGGAGAGGAUGGUGGAAUUCCCAGUGUAGAGGUGAAAUUCGUAGAUAUUGGGAAGAACACCGAUGGCGAAGGCAGCCAUCUGGACCGACACUGACGCUGAGGCGCGAAAGCGUGGGGAGCAAACAGG
Molecule: ribosomal RNA, 253 nt
Filed under: uncultured bacterium
Lineage: Bacteria
Description: partial 16S ribosomal RNA
Rfam family: Bacterial small subunit ribosomal RNA
Source: RNAcentral